Morus notabilis is the source of this 210-nucleotide long non-coding RNA. RefSeq lists it as uncharacterized. The record is from RefSeq and is a predicted model, not a curated record. Lineage: Eukaryota; Viridiplantae; Streptophyta; Magnoliopsida; Rosales; Moraceae. The transcript is spliced from 3 exons.
AGUAUGAAGGAGCGACAGAUGUGGAUGGAAGAAAACCCAGUAUAUGGGAUACCUUCACUAAGGAUCAUCCAGAAAAAAUAGCAGAUAACAGCUCUGGAAAAAUCGCAGAUGAAUUCUAUUAUAGAUACAAGAGUGACAUCAAGCGACUGAAAGAAACGGGUUUCGACUCCUUCAGAUUCUCUAUCUCUUGGUCUAGAGUACUACCAAGUA